CCUACGGGUGGCAGCAGUGGGGAAUAUUGGGCAAUGGAGGAAACUCUGACCCAGCAACGCCGCGUGAAUGAUGAAGGUCUUCGGAUUGUAAAGUUCUUUUCUAAAGGAAGAAGAAAGUGACGGUACCUUCGGAAUAAGCCUCGGCUAACUACGUUCCAGCAGCCGCGGUAAUACGUAGGAGGCGAGCGUUAUCCGGAAUGACUGGGCGUAAAGGGUGCGUAGGUGGUUUGGCAAGUUAGUAGCGUAACUCCAAGGCUGAACCGUGGAACUACUACUAAAACUGUUGGACUUGAGUGCGGGAGGGGCAAGCGGAAUUCCUGGUGUAGCGGUGGAAUGCGUAGAUAUUAGGAGGAACACCAGUGGCGAAGGCGGGUUGCUAGACUGUAACUGACACUGAGGCACGAAAGCGUGGGGAGCAAACAGGAUUAGAUACCCUUGUAGUC
This 443-nucleotide ribosomal RNA is filed under the name uncultured bacterium. RNAcentral describes it as "partial 16S ribosomal RNA". It matches the Rfam family "Bacterial small subunit ribosomal RNA", at positions 338 to 795 of the family's 1533-position model. The record is from RNAcentral.